GGUUGUUUUCUCUUUCAAUGGCUUUGAACUUGCAGUUCGUUCCUUUUGCACUUUUCCAUCCUUAUCUGAUAAUCCCAAAGUCGCAUUCACGUUGGAGACUGUAGUCAAUCUGGAGGCAGUAAAGCUGUUCUGCUUGGCAGCAGGCAGCUCAAAUCCUGCAGAGGGAAGAGAAGUAGCAAAUUUACCAGAACUGCCCCUGCGAUGCCAGCCAGGAGAGGAGUUAUCAUCAGCUAAGUUAGUGGUAGUAGGAGAAGUGAAUUCAGAUGGAUUGUAGCUUCCGACGGGGAUAGAAUCAUGUCGUAGAGGGGACAAGGGUGCCGGAUGAAGAUUAGCGGGACGGGGUAGGGAUACGUCGACGGAGAGAUGACGAGGAGGAGGGAUCAUAACAGGGGAAAGAGAGUUACCGGAAGGGGAUAGAUCGGAAACAGGAG
RNAcentral lists this unclassified non-coding RNA (431 nucleotides) under Hevea brasiliensis (rubber tree). The record is from RNAcentral. Lineage: Eukaryota; Viridiplantae; Streptophyta; Magnoliopsida; Malpighiales; Euphorbiaceae.